RNAcentral lists this ribosomal RNA (408 nucleotides) under Enterobacter cloacae subsp. cloacae. RNAcentral describes it as "bacterial SSU rRNA". It matches the Rfam family "Bacterial small subunit ribosomal RNA", at positions 1 to 407 of the family's 1533-position model. The record is from RNAcentral. Lineage: Bacteria; Pseudomonadati; Pseudomonadota; Gammaproteobacteria; Enterobacterales; Enterobacteriaceae.
AAAUUGAAGAGUUUGAUCAUGGCUCAGAUUGAACGCUGGCGGCAGGCCUAACACAUGCAAGUCGAACGGUAGCACAGAGAGCUUGCUCUCGGGUGACGAGUGGCGGACGGGUGAGUAAUGUCUGGGAAACUGCCUGAUGGAGGGGGAUAACUACUGGAAACGGUAGCUAAUACCGCAUAACGUCGCAAGACCAAAGAGGGGGACCUUCGGGCCUCUUGCCAUCAGAUGUGCCCAGAUGGGAUUAGCUAGUAGGUGGGGUAACGGCUCACCUAGGCGACGAUCCCUAGCUGGUCUGAGAGGAUGACCAGCCACACUGGAACUGAGACACGGUCCAGACUCCUACGGGAGGCAGCAGUGGGGAAUAUUGCACAAUGGGCGCAAGCCUGAUGCAGCCAUGCCGCGUGUAUG